Molecule: ribosomal RNA, 465 nt
Filed under: uncultured bacterium
Lineage: Bacteria
Description: partial 16S ribosomal RNA
Rfam family: Bacterial small subunit ribosomal RNA
Source: RNAcentral
GACGAACGCUGGCGGCGUGCUUAACACAUGCAAGUCGAACGGAAAGGCCCUGCUUGCAGGGUACUCGAGUGGCGAACGGGUGAGUAACACGUGGGUGAUCUGCCCUGCACUUCGGGAUAAGCCUGGGAAACUGGGUCUAAUACCGGAUAGGAGCCAUUUUUAGUGUGAUGGUUGGAAAGUUUUUUCGGUGUAGGAUGAGCUCGCGGCCUAUCAGCUUGUUGGUGGGGUAAUGGCCUACCAAGGCGGCGACGGGUAGCCGGCCUGAGGGGGUGGACGGCCACAUUGGGGCUGAGAUACGGCCCAGACUCCUACGGGAGGCAGCAGUGGGGAAUAUUGCACAAUGGGCGCAAGCCUGAUGCAGCGACGCCGCGUGGGGGAUGACGGCCUUCGGGUUGUAAACUCCUUUCGCUAGGGACGAAGCUUUUUGUGACGGUACCUAGAUAAGAAGCACCGGCUAACUACGUG